This 4713-nucleotide long non-coding RNA is filed under the name Phoenix dactylifera (date palm). RNAcentral describes it as "long non-coding RNA (PDAC_LNC010506)". Lineage: Eukaryota; Viridiplantae; Streptophyta; Magnoliopsida; Arecales; Arecaceae. The record is from RNAcentral.
GGAGAUCAGCCUUCCAUGGAGUAGUGGACGGCAGCAGCAGCACAGCAGCGGGCUCCCAUUCCUUCCUUCUCUUUCUCCUUUGAAAUAUUCCCAAAAUAGCCAAACCUCUCUCCCUCCUCUCUUUUUUUUAUUUCUUGUGGAAACUCCCUGAGAAGAGCCAAGCUCUUCUUCUCCCCGUGGGGAACUUGGCCUCUGAGGAGAGAUGGGAUUCAAGGGGUCCGUCUCCUCCUCCUUUUAUAGCCUUCACCAGCCCUCUCUCCUCCCCUGUUCCGAGUGCAGAUAAGGAUGAACAGCUAUGGGAUAAGGCAGAUGAAUCUGCUCCUUGAUCCUUGGACGCGGUGGGAUAAGGAAGAUGAGAAGAAAGCCGUUGGGAGGAAUGAAAUCCUGAAGUUUGCUUGGAUAAAGAUGAAUCACGUCCGUGAAUGGGAGAUGAUCCAGAAGAAGCGGGAUGCUGGGACGCGUUCACAGAUUGGGGAGGCAUUGGAACGAGGUGAAGAUAAGAGUGAUACGGUUGGGAGAUGAUGAAGUUUGGGACUCGGCUGAAGCUGGGAAGUCUGUGGGAUUUGAUUUUAUCCCGUGGAGAUAUAGACACUGGGAAGAAAACAGAAUGAAGGAGCUAGGGUUAAUCGGGAUGAUAGCAGACGUUGGGAAGAAGUUGAUGAUCCGUGAUCCAUGGGAUGUUGCUUGAUCUUCGGCUGCAGGUGAUGGCGAGGACGUGGACCAAGAUGCAAGGGAUGCUGAGAUUAUUCUGUGGAUAAGAAUGAAUUCAGGUGCUUGGAACGGCUGGAAGGUUGAUCACAAAGGGAAGAUUGGCCUGUUCUGUUUUCGAAACAGGGGAGAUUCACAGCAUAUGCGAACGGGUGAUGAGGAUGAAUUCUGUUUGGAUCCCGUGAAUGCAGGGGAGUUCGGAAGGAGUUGGAUUGAUUUAAAGAGAAAAUCGUGGAAGGCAAUCGGGAUGAGCAUGGCUCUGUUUUGAAGCUAAAACAGGGGAUGCGGAACUGUGAACGUUGGGGUGUUGUUCACGACUUAGAUAAGGUGCCGGAAGAAUCGGAAAAUAAGGAUGAAUUGAGGGAGAGGGAAGAUGCUGAGGAUUCAGAUGUGGUCGUGGGAUGGAGAUAGAUCACGAGCGUAUGGUUUGGAAGAAGGAUACGGCUGUGAUGUGGAGCAUUGGUUGCGGGAAGAUGAAGCCAAGGAGUGAUUUGUGGACGUUGGGUUAAUCCAUGGGUGAGCAGCUGGGAGGAUGGAAUCGGAUCCAUGCGGCUGAUCUGGAACGAACUCACGAACGGGAUGAUAAAGUUGGGAUGAGGAUGUGGACAUGGAAAGAAUGGGAUUGGGUUAGGAUCUAGCGGAAGAACAUGGCUAAACUAUGAAUGGGUGUGGUCGGCUGGGUGAGGGGUUGAGCUUAUUUUAAUGUGGUUUGGCUAGGAAGAUGGAAUUAACCUCAUAUGGCUGGGAACACGGUUGGGGUGUGGGCUUAGGCAAUCACUCAAUUGGAUUUGACUUGACCUGCAUAUAUAAAACUUAAUAAAUAAUCAAAUCAAACUUUGAUAGUUUAUAAAAAUGCAAUGGUGAAGGUAACACAUUUUUUAGUUACAUUUACAAAAUAUGUGAAUUAAAAUAAUGAUAAGUGCUAUGAAUAGGAUAUUAAUUUAUGCAUUAUUUAGCACUUAUCAGGUGGCAAUUUAGCAAUUAAUUCUACUUUGGCCUUAUCCACCUCAAUUCCCCUUUGUGACACAAUGUGUCCUAAAACAAUACCUGAUUCUACCAUGAAAUGACACUUCUCCCAGUUAAGAACUAAGUUUUUCUCUUUACAGCGUUCUACAACAAGUGUCAAGUGGUGCAGACAUUCAUCAAUAUUGGAUCCAAAUACAGAAAAAUCAUCCAUGAAAACUUCUAAAAAUUUCUCCACCAUGUCGGAGAAAAUGCUCCUCAUACACCGCUAGAAUGUAGNNNNNNNNNNNNNNNNNNNNNNNNNNNNNNNNNNNNNNNNNNNNNNNNNNNNNNNNNNNNNNNNNNNNNNNNNNNNNNNNNNNNNNNNNNNNNNNNNNNNNNNNNNNNNNNNNNNNNNNNNNNNNNNNNNNNNNNNNNNNNNNNNNNNNNNNNNNNNNNNNNNNNNAUUUAGAUAUAUAUAUAUUUAUUUUAGAAUUUUUUUAAUUAAUUAAAUUUUUUUAAUGAUAGGAAAAAUAACUAUGCUAGCAAUCCCCGGCAACGGCGCCAAAAAUUGAUCGGUUCUUUCAAUUUUGAAAAUAAACCACGCAAUAGCACGUAUCCUGUAGGAUAGUGAUUACGGGUGUCGGUCCACAAGGAUUGAAGAAUAAGUUAUUUUUUUCUCUUAAAAGUAAAUCAAAUAGAAGAAUUUGCUAACUUGAUUUAACUAAAUUAAUUCAAAUGGCAUAAGCUAGAGUAAAAAGAAUUUUAAGUUAUCGAUUAAUGAGAGCUAAAAGUAUGAUGAAUGCAAUAGUAGGAAUAUUUUAUGGGAAGAGAUGUCUAGGGUUAGAAUCCACCGAUGGAUUUGUAAAUAUGAUGCUUUCAAUGAUUUAGAUGCAUGUAUGAUCUGAUUGCUCUUAACUACAAGUUUGGGCAAUCAUACAAAAAGUUGAAAUCUAACCCACAGUAUGAGUCAUCUAAGCCUGGUACAAACCAUCUUCUCUAAGGAUAGGUAUGGUCUGUCCUAUUUAGCAUGAUUCAUCUGAUGAUUAAUUUCUCAAAGAUAAAUCUGGUAGUUGCAUAACAAUCUCCUCCAAACCACAGGUAUUGAAUUCGAUUUCGAUAAACUAUAUUAAUUCAUGCGGAGGCUUUCUACAAGAUAGAUGUCUUACACAAAUUAAACAAGACAUUUCAAGAUCAUAAUUUCAUUAAAUAUGCAACUGUCUUACAAUGCUAAAAAUCAAAGAAAUGCAACAUAAAUACUUAUCCACGGCUUCAUCAAACCCCUAAACCGAGGUUUAGCUGCUCAUGGUGGCCGGAAGUCCUCCCAUCUUCAUAAAAAAAUUACUCUUCACUCCCUUCCGCUCCCAGCCUCUCUCUCUUCUCUCUUUUUUUAUUUCUUCUUCUCCCGAACAGAGCCUCCUCUGUUCUUCAAACCGUCGCCCCCUUUCUCCCAAGCUCUCUCCUCCUUAUGUAGUCGUCCGGGCUGCUCAUUCGGGAAAGGAGAAGAGAUACGAACUGCUGAUUCCGGGGCAUGAUGUUGGAGGGCAAAUCGCGGACGAAGGGGGAGAAUGGCUGGAUCUCGGGAGGAAGGCGUGAUUUGUGGAGUGCCGGAUUGAUUGUAGAUGGCCGGAUCAAUGGAGCUUGCGACGGGAGGCUGAUGCGCAAACGGAAGAACAUGAGAUGGCCGUGGGAUCUCGAAGAAGACGGGGAUGGAGCUAGAGACGGAUGCCGACGGCUGGAAUCGCGGAGGAGUGAUUGCUGGCUGCACCGGCGGAUGGCAGAAUACCCAGGGAUGAAGAUGAUGCCGUGAAUCUCGGCUGCUGGGAGGUGGAAUGGGUUGUGUCACGGGCGGAAGAAGGGUCGGAGAUGAAGACGACGCCGCAUAGGUGGAUCUGGAANNNNNNNNNNNNNNNNNNNNUGUAGGUGGAUCUGGCAUGCGGCUGAUACGAGGUCCCAUUGUUUUGAAGCGAGGAUGGAGGAUCGGGUUGCUUUGGUGGGGUAGGAUUCGAAUCAUCGGCAUCAAAGAGUCUCCCUGUUUCAGCGCUGUGAUUGGAGCCGGCUGGGGCGGGCUGAUGGCAGAGGAGCUGGACGCGGUGGGCACUCGUGGGAUGCGGCUGGGAAGGAGCUGGUCGCUGGUGCACCGCGUGGAUCACGGAGGGUUGGAUGCUUCCCCUGCUUCGACGUUGGGAUGGAAGGCUGAUGCGGAAACCAACUCAACAAGCUGCGAGACGGCUGAGCUUGCACACUUUGCAUUGGGCUGAUCUCCCCUAUUUUGGCUUGGUCUAUUGGGUUGAGCUCCAUCAUGUGAUUGAUUUGAGCUCGAGCUGAAGAAUGGCACGGAUCCUGGAACGAUUGGAUACUUCAUCGCGGACGGUUGGGAGGAAUCAUGAUGCGAAAACGGAAAUUUCUAAACCGUUGGAUCACUUGGAGAGCCACGGAUGGUGGACAGUGCUUGAGUGCAAGCAUGGCAGUUGGGCAUUGAGCUCAAACCCAAUGUUAUUGAGUCUCUAGGAUUACUUGCACUUAGCUUAAGGAGGGAAUUAUUUAUUUCUUGACAUGUAUUAAAUUUAUUUCAAUGAUUAUUCAAUUUUAUGGUAAAAUAAGUAUUUAUCCAUUUAAGAACAUUGGCAAGUGCUAUGGAAAGAUAACUAAAUUAUAAAUUAUUCAACACUUAUCACACCUCCAAACCUAUGUUUUGCUAGUCCUCGAGCAAAAUAGAAAAGAAAUUAACUCACUUUCACAGGAAUCGCGAUUGCAUUUACCGUAUGCAAUAAGGCUUUAAACCCCUAGGUGGCCCUAGUGGACGAGUUUUGUCUCGUGAGAGUUUCCAGUGAUGAUACCCACAAACUUCAAUAUUAAAAUAAAUCAUUUAUUGUUAUGAUUAUUAUUAUUAUGAUUAUUAUUAUUAUUUUAAGAUCUAUGAAGUGAAAAUCAAAUUCCAAAUGCAUACUAGCUAAGAAUUUCAAAAACUCUCUCUUUUUUUUAUUAAAAUCUAAUUUAAGAUACAUAAAUGAUGAAAAUUUCAAAACAUACAUGGUUUUAUUUACUAAGUCAGCCCAAAUC